UCAUUAUCAGCAUCGGCGAGGGGCCUUUCGGGGCUCCUCUGUCUGACGCCCUUGUCUUUUGCGUACUGUCUGUUUCCUCGGUGGGCUCGCCCGCCGAUAGGACACCUUAUAAACCCUUCUGUAAUUGCAAUCAGCGUCAGAAACAACUAUAAUGGUUACAACUUUCAACAACGGAUCUCUUGGUUCUGGCAUCGAUGAAGAACGCAGCGAAAUGCGAAAAGUAGUGUGAAUUGCAGAAUUCAGUGAAUCAUCGAAUCUUUGAACGCACAUUGCGCCCCUUGGUAUUCCAUGGGGCAUGCCUGUUCGAGCGUCAUUUGUACCCUCAAGCUCUGCUUGGUGUUGGGUGUUUGUCCCGCCGUUGCGCGUGGACUCGCCUCAAAGCAAUUGGCAGCCGGCACAUUGGCCUGGGAGCGCAGCACAACUUGCGCUCUUGACCUCUGGGUGUCGAGCGUCCAGCAAGUCUAUUCUCUUGCGUUUGACCUCGGAUCAGGUAGGGAUACCCGCUGAACUUAAGCAUAUCAAUAAGCGGAGGA
This 533-nucleotide ribosomal RNA is filed under the name ascomycete sp. RM1-4. Its description in RNAcentral is "eukaryotic LSU rRNA". The stretch from base 160 to 313 matches the Rfam family "5.8S ribosomal RNA". The record is from RNAcentral. Lineage: Eukaryota; Fungi; Ascomycota.